AGUGAACGCUGGCGGUAGGCCUAACACAUGCAAGUCGAACGGCAGCACAGUAAGAGCUUGCUCUUACGGGUGGCGAGUGGUGGACGGGUGAGGAAUACAUCGGAAUCUACUUUUUCGUGGGGGAUAACGUAGGGAAACUUACGCUAUUACCGCAUACGACCUACGGGUGAAAGCAGGGGAUCUUCGGACCUUGCGCGAUUGAAUGAGCCGAUGUCGGAUUAGCUAGUUGGCGGGGUAAAGGCCCACCAAGGCGACGAUCCGUAGCUGGUCUGAGAGGAUGAUCAGCCACACUGGAACUGAGACACGGUCCAGACUCCUACGGGAGGCAGCAGUGGGGAAUAUUGGACAAUGGGCGCAAGCCUGAUCCAGCCAUACCGCGUGGGUGAAGAAGGCCUUCGGGUUGUAAAGCCCUUUUGUUGGGAAAGAAAAGCAGCAGGUUAAUACCCCGCUGUUCUGACGGUACCCAAAGAAUAAGCACCGGCUAACUUCGUG
RNAcentral lists this ribosomal RNA (492 nucleotides) under uncultured bacterium. Its description in RNAcentral is "partial 16S ribosomal RNA". It matches the Rfam family "Bacterial small subunit ribosomal RNA", at positions 29 to 507 of the family's 1533-position model. The record is from RNAcentral.